GUCUCCGCGCCGAGCAUAGGCGGCCUGGAUGACCCUCACGUGCGAGGGCAGCCCCUCCCAGAAGCGGUGCACCCGGGCAGGCCGGGGCGACACCAGCUGUCCUGAGGGCUGGAGGCGCCAGAACCAGGGGCCUUAGGGGAAACGUUGAAGCCUGUGGUGGGGGUCACCUGAAGUGUACAGGAAGCCAACCAUGGUGCCCAGGAAGUCAGGGACCAACCAAAGGGACUUACCUUUGAAAAAGAAGGUUUCACCGCGGAUGUUGGCAAUGGCAUCAAAACUGCCCUCACAUCGAUCAGGGACAGGUGCGGAGGGGCUGGGUAGGAAAGCUGCUGCAGGCCAUCACGGUCAUCCUGGGACAGGCGGUACUUGUCAGGGUCACCCACUGGGCCCUGGUAGAAGGGCCUCAUAAUGGAGUUGGGUGCGGAGGAAUGGCCCAGACCCAGGGCGUGGCCAAACUCGUGAACAGCUACAGCAAACAGUUGGUGGUGCUGAUACUGGGUACAGGGAUGAAGAGACCCAAGAAUGGAUAGAGGAAGAGUGACCUUACACAAGUGCAGCCCCUCUCUUGAAGGGAAGACUGCAUAUAGAAGCUCAGAGCAGCAAGAACCCUGGGUGCCUGUAGUUCUCUCCAGGAAACCGGUGCUUUGGAGCAUUCCCUCCUCUAAGAUCUAGUCCAUGAGCAGAGGAACAUGGAGCUCCCUCCAGCAUGCACUCUCAGACCACAGCCUCUCUCUCAGCCUCUUCCCACCACAGAAGCUUCUUCCCUGGAGAUCCAGCUCCAGCGACUGAGGGCCUAGUUCCUCAUCGAUCUGCCUGGCUCCUGCUCCGGUCAAAGGCCCCACCCAGAAGAGGCAGUGACAGAGCCAGGCAACACAUCAGUGGGCAUAUAUUUCUGCAGAUGUUGAUCUAGUUUGUGGGAAUCUCUAACUAGGGCUAGCAACAUUGAAAACAGCAUUAUUGGAAAUGGCCUGGUGAAUUGAAAAGCAAGUUUCUCUAAGCCCCUGAGGGCUGAUACCUAAGUAUGGAAGCGGUAAAUCCUAAGAGGCCUCAUUUACCUCUCAAACCUCUACUUCCUAUCCUGAUUUUACAGAGGGGGGAUUGAGGCCAAAUGCCCUGCCUGUGCACCCUCAAAACUGCAAAUGUCUGAUCAAUUUCCACAUUGACUGCAGGUCUUAUUAUUGCUCCAAAUCCUUUUUCUGAGAAAUUGGAGGAAGUUUGGAGACUCAAUACGACGAGAGCUUUGUUCUCUCACCUUCUUCCCUUGCUUCAUCUCUACUUUGGUGACAUGGGGUUUUCUGAGCCAGGCACCCCUUCCUGCACCCUUCUCACACUAUGCAGCUGGGGAAAUUACACAACCGUGCAGGCCUAGCCCCACCAGAGUCCUGAUGGGUAGUGUGCAAGGGACCUGACACCUCCUAUCAUUCCUGCCCUUGUCCCAGCAAGCAACUCCUCUACUCUCUCCCCUCAGCCUCCUUUCCAUGUCCACAAGGCCCCAAAGCUGCAACCCAGUCAUAAGUCCCACCUUCAGAUGACAGAUGCUAACAAGCACACAUCCUGUUUCAUCAAGUCCAAUGGAAUCUGUGACUUGUAGUAUACCUGGGGCAGAUACCCAGUCACACUGCUUUCUGCAGUCCCUCCUCAGCCAUGUUCCUUAGUCAAUAAUCUAAACUCAGUCUAGUUCUUUAGCUCCUUUCAUACCUGAACCCAUUGCACUGAUGGAGUCUGCAGACACUAAGAAUGUCACUUGUUUCCUGGAUGACCAAAUCUAAUGCCCGUAAUUUACUGGGUUUGUUUGCUGUAGCCAUUGCUGACCACUUCCUCCUUGAUUCUUGUUCUUCAUCACCUUUUGGCCUGUUCUUUCUCCAUCUCUGUUAAUUCCUCUUCCCCAGCCACCCACCUCUUAGUCCUGGGGCUCUCCACAGCUCUGUCCUUAACCUUUCUUUACAUGCUACAUUUUCUUCCUGGUAAGCUUACAAACCCCAAGGACACUAACUCUGCCCCCAGGUCCAGCUCUAAUAAGGGUUGGCAGUGCUUAAAGCACUGUUCUGCACCAGGCUCUGAGCAAGUAAAGGGCUGGAGGUGGAUUACUCAUCUAAUCUACAGACCACACUGCCAGCAGGUACUGUUCCCAUCCCCCAUUUCUCAGCUGAGGAAACUGAGUGCAACGUGGUUAAGUAACUUGUACACAUUACAAGUGGAGGAACCCUGACUUGAUUCAGCUUCAAAGCCCACCUGCUUGGGUUAUGGGUGCAGCCCAGUGAUACAGCACUUGCCUAGCAUCUGAGAGGCCAUAGGUUCCAUAUCCAGAACCACAAAAAUAUAUAAAUAAAAAAAUUUAAAAGC
Molecule: long non-coding RNA, 2343 nt
Organism: Marmota monax (woodchuck)
Lineage: Eukaryota; Metazoa; Chordata; Mammalia; Rodentia; Sciuridae
Exons: 5
Source: RefSeq, a predicted model, not a curated record